AUUGAACGCUGGCGGCAGGCUUAACACAUGCAAGUCGAGCGGGGGAAGGUAGCUUGCUACCGGACCUAGCGGCGGACGGGUGAGUAAUGCUUAGGAAUCUGCCUAUUAGGGGGGGACAACAUCUCGAAAGGGAUGCUAAUACCGCAUACGUCCUACGGGAGAAAGCAGGGGAUCUUCGGACCUUGCGCUAAUAGAUGAGCCUAAGUCGGAUUAGCUAGUUGGUGGGGUAAGGGCCUACCAAGGCGACGAUCUGUAGCGGGUCUGAGAGGAUGAUCCGCCGCACUGGGACUGAGACACGGCCCAGACUCCUACGGGAGGCAGCAGUGGGGAAUAUUGGACAAUGGGGGGAACCCUGAUCCAGCCAUGCCGCGUGUGUGACGAAGGCCUUAUGGUUGUAAAGCACUUUAAGCGAGGAGGAGGCUACUCUAGUUAAUACCUAGGGAUAGUGGACGUUACUCGCAGAAUAAGCACCGGCUAACUCUGUGCCAGCCGCCGCGGUAA
RNAcentral lists this ribosomal RNA (501 nucleotides) under uncultured bacterium. RNAcentral's name for it is "partial 16S ribosomal RNA". It matches the Rfam family "Bacterial small subunit ribosomal RNA", at positions 30 to 523 of the family's 1533-position model. The record is from RNAcentral.